GAUGAACGCUGGCGGCGUGCCUAAUACAUGCAAGUCGAGCGAACAGACGAGGAGCUUGCUCCUCUGACGUUAGCGGCGGACGGGUGAGUAACACGUGGAUAACCUACCUAUAAGACUGGGAUAACUUCGGGAAACCGGAGCUAAUACCGGAUAAUAUAUUGAACCGCAUGGUUCAAUAGUGAAAGACGGUUUUGCUGUCACUUAUAGAUGGAUCCGCGCCGCAUUAGCUAGUUGGUAAGGUAACGGCUUACCAAGGCAACGAUGCGUAGCCGACCUGAGAGGGUGAUCGGCCACACUGGAACUGCGACACGGUCCAGACUCCUACGGGAGGCAGCAGUAGGGAAUCUUCCGCAAUGGGCGAAAGCCUGACGGAGCAACGCCGCGUGAGUGAUGAAGGUCUUCGGAUCGUAAAACUCUGUUAUUAGGGAAGAACAAGUGUGUAAGUAACUAUGCACGUCUUGACGGUACCUAAUCAGAAAGCCACGGUUAACUACGUG
This 497-nucleotide ribosomal RNA is filed under the name uncultured bacterium. Its description in RNAcentral is "partial 16S ribosomal RNA". It matches the Rfam family "Bacterial small subunit ribosomal RNA", at positions 28 to 507 of the family's 1533-position model. The record is from RNAcentral.